GGGGCUAUAGCUCAGUUGGUAGAGCGCUUGCAUGGCAUGCAAGAGGUCUGGGGUUCGAAUCCCCAUAGCUCCACCA
This 76-nucleotide transfer RNA is filed under the name Streptosporangiaceae bacterium. Its description in RNAcentral is "tRNA-Ala". It matches the Rfam family "tRNA". From Rfam's summary of the family: Transfer RNA (tRNA) molecules are approximately 80 nucleotides in length. Their secondary structure includes four short double-helical elements and three loops (D, anti-codon, and T loops). Lineage: Bacteria; Bacillati; Actinomycetota; Actinomycetes; Streptosporangiales; Streptosporangiaceae. The record is from RNAcentral. RNAcentral also lists the same sequence under 2 other names.